Molecule: long non-coding RNA, 2675 nt
Organism: Oreochromis niloticus (Nile tilapia)
Lineage: Eukaryota; Metazoa; Chordata; Actinopteri; Cichliformes; Cichlidae
Exons: 6
Source: RefSeq, a predicted model, not a curated record
AACGUAGUAAAGUACUAUUUAAAAAAGACAAAUUACAGUCGGAGUCCCUACCAGUUAAGCUAACUGGUGGAUACAAGUUUUGCAUCAGUUCUGAUUAAGAUGGCAGCCACUUUCCACAGGGAGGCGCUGUUGCUCCACACACACACACACACACACCCGAACACCUCCUCCGCCGUGCAAACACCCGGCGUGCCCGAGUGUCCACCUGCUUUGCUCAGCCCCGGUCGUUUCUCCUCUCGGAUACUAAUUGCGCGGGGAGGUAAACACGGCAGUCAAGUGGAGAGGACGGCGAGUCAAGCGUGAAUAUCAAUCUCCCCACAUCAGUGUCAUCAGAUGACUUUGACUGAGUUGAAGGCGGGCCUCAUUAGAGAUGUGGUGCAGGCAGGGGUGCCGCGGGUGGCAAUAACAUCCAGGCGUAGGGCUCUGAUGUUCUGGAAGUCUGCAGAGCUCACCAGUGAAAUGAACAGAAAGUGGCUCAAGACAGAGUUCAGGAGUUCAGGAGCAGAGCAGCUAUGGAAACAUCAUCUGGCUCAAAAGUGGUAUCAGAUGCGCUUGGGUGCCCACACAUCCAUCACCUACCACACUUCAAGUGUUGCAAGCAAUGCAUGGAGACUUCAUAAAACUUAAAGCAUGCAGCCAGGACAGCACCUCAAGGCACGGAAGGCAGGAGGGGAUCAGUCAAAAUGACUUUGACAGGGACUUCUCCACUACAUCAGCAGAUGGCUGCCCCUCCCUAUACCUGCUUCUGUCAGAGGUUUCUUCCUGUUAAAAAGAGAGAGAUAUGCUGCUGGUACACCGUGGCAAUAAGGGCCCAAAGAGUUGUCUGCCCCGGAGCCUAUCACAGAGUUGUUGCGCCUGUGCUUCCUAAUGAGGCUUCUUCAAAACAGAUCAUCGCAGCGAGCGCGUCAUCUCACUGAUGCCAAAGAACACCUUUUGUGUGAUGCCUGCAGCUUCUGUCAACAUGCCAGUAUUUGAUGUCCUAAUCAGAGAGUGCACUGAAAAAAACAUGAAGUAAAACAAAUUCAUCAGUUUGCGACUGUAGCUUUGGUUUGAAAUCGCACGCAUUUGCAAAUUUGUGACUUGCCGCCCCAUCUCUGCGUGCAUUCUGGGAUAUGAGACGCCGCAGAGAAAAAAGGGAGAUGAUGAUGUACAUAGAACCCAUCAUAUAUCCAGGGCUCUAAUUACUUCCAUGCCCCUCCCCCUGUGUCUUAGAUGGAGGAAGUGGAGGAUCAGCACUUUCCAUCCCUCCUACCUGCUCUAUGUUCUUUUUCUCCUUUGUCACAGCAGGGCUCGUGUUAUUAACCUUCUGUCUGCUCAAGCACAUAGGACGCUAUGGUCCUUUCUCUCUUGCUGGAAGCUCAUUUUAGACAGUUGAGCUUCCUUUUGAAAAUUUUCAUGUCUCUCCUGCAGCAUUCUUGCCAGGAUCCAGAUCAGGAGACGAGGCAAAUGGAAGAGGAACACAUCAAAAGAGACAGAUUGACUGGACAGUGUAAAAAGGUUCUUGUUACAUUCAAGUUGAUAGUAAAGGAGAAAUAUGAAGAGAAGAGGAAGAUGAAGUGUUGAGAGGACAGAUUGAAGAAAAAUAAAAUGGCCUUCUUGAUGAAGAGCAAGUUUGAUAUUGAGUGCUUGCACGUCCAUACAUGUAUGCACGUUUGACUGAAAGCGUGCUGCACAACACCAAGGGGCCGGGGGUCUACUUAGAUUUGAUGGCUGGAGUCCUUCCCUCCCACGGCCUGCUCUCUGUCCUCUUAUUGCGGCACUCUGUCAGCCUCAUCGUUAGAGCUGCUAAGCACCUCUCAAGGUGGUUAUUGUACCUCUCAUUAGCGCAGUGUGCCGACUACGCAGCGACUGUGGACGAGAGCCAGGCAGAGACGGGAAUACUCAUUAGAUGUGAAUCAUGCGUGAACACAGAGGACCCUCCCUGCUGAUAAACUGACAGUUUCCCCUAUACGACGGGCUCAGAUACCACCCCUGUGAUGACCAGCAACCGGAACUCAUGGUGUAGCACAUAUAAAAGCUGAAUUCAUGCUCUAUUCUUUAAGGGCAUGUGAAAAUGAUUGCUGCGUUUUAAAGUGUUGCUGUGUAGCUUUUAAUUGCAGCCACAACGAGAUACACAGUAGUUAAAUACUUCUAAUCUGGCACUUAUGAGAAUAGGAAUGCCACAUAAGUGGAUUGUAAAUGUGUCUGCUGAUUCUCUGACCAAAUGUCAAUUCCGAUUUUUUUUUUCUGUCUGCAAACCUUCUCUGCAUUUCCUGUCAAUAGUUUAGCAAUUCAGUCUGUUAGCAGUGCAGCCUCUCUGCUGGUCACUGUACUGGCCUUCUGCUUGUAAUGUUUGGAAUACUUCUAAACUUAAAUGACCACACUGGUGAGUUUGCAUGUUUUAUCCAGAUUUGAAACAUGCAGUAAACAGUGUUUUCUUUACAGUCGCAGUAUUAAAUGUGAAUACGUUUGUUCUGCUGUUGGUUCUGUGAUUUUCAUGCUGAGGACUGGGCUUUGUGCUCCAUGUGGUUCCAGUAUUUUUCUGUUUCCACAUUAACCCAUAGAGUGGUACGGUGGUUAGCGCCUCAAAGCAAGAAAGACCUGGGUUUGAAUCCAAGGUGGGGCUCAUCUGAGCGGGCUCUCUCCAGGUACUCUGGCUUGCUGCAUACAGAUGAUAAAAUCAUUAGCACCUCACA